AGUGAACGCUGGCGGUAGGCCUAACACAUGCAAGUCGAACGGCAGCGCAGUAAGAGCUUGCUCUUACGGGUGGCGAGUGGCGGACGGGUGAGGAAUACAUCGGAAUCUACUUUUUCGUGGGGGAUAACGUAGGGAAACUUACGCUAAUACCGCAUACGACCUACGGGUGAAAGCAGGGGAUCUUCGGACCUUGCGCGAUUGAAUGAGCCGAUGUUGGAUUAGCUAGUUGGCGGGGUAAAGGCCCACCAAGGCGACGAUCCGUAGCUGGUCUGAGAGGAUGAUCAGCCACACUGGAACUGAGACACGGUCCAGACUCCUACGGGAGGCAGCAGUGGGGAAUAUUGGACAAUGGGCGCAAGCCUGAUCCAGCCAUACCGCGUGGGUGAAGAAGGCCUUCGGGUUGUAAAGCCCUUUUGUUGGGAAAGAAAAGCAGCAGGUUAAUACCCCGCUGUUCUGACGGUACCCAAAGAAUAAGCACCGGCUAACUUCGUG
RNAcentral lists this ribosomal RNA (492 nucleotides) under uncultured bacterium. Its description in RNAcentral is "partial 16S ribosomal RNA". It matches the Rfam family "Bacterial small subunit ribosomal RNA", at positions 29 to 507 of the family's 1533-position model. The record is from RNAcentral.